CGAUGAUAAGGUUUUCAGGAACAUCUUUUGAUGAUUCCAGUUCCUGUACAACCGGUUCUUUCUUUGAAAACAGCAUUGACAGAUCUCUUGCAUGACAGCUGCAGGCAAUCCAUGAUCUGUGUACUGUCCUGCUGUCCUGCUGUGCAACAUAAGGAUUUGAUCCACAACUGCGAGAGUUACCUCACAUUCAAGGAUACUGGACGUAUUGGAGCAAAAGCUGAUAUCUGCCAACUGAAGUAACAAAGACAAGGAGGUGUCUCAACAUGAGAAGCACUCUGUGGAUGGAGGGUGUGGAUUCCAGUUCUCUCAUGCAAAUAGCACCGGCUUCAAACUUGCUCACAGGCCAAGAGCUGCCAUAAACCUGUUUCGGAUAGGAACCACACCCCUUUCUUCUUCAAGCGUUCAAAGUUCAUUUAUGGUGUGUAGACAAUGGAGGUUUUGAUAGUCAGUUAUCUUUUCAAGCAAAUGUAAAGAAAGGCUUUGCACUUUUUACAUAUAAUAUGGUAAUAUGUAAUUAUCUUUAACACUACUUGUUAACUUAUUUGAUGACACUUACCUAUCAUAAGUAUUCACCCCCCCCCUUGGAUUUCAUCACAUUCCAUUGUGACAAAGUGGGAUUCAAAUGUAUAUAAUUGUCAUUUUUUUGAAAAUGAUCUACACAAAAUAUUCUGUAAUGUCUAAAUGGAAGAUUGUUGUAAUAAAAAAAAGAUGAAUGGCAAAUAAAAUCCCAAUUUACCUUGAUUUAACCCCUGCUCCCUCCCCGAGUCAAUGUUGUGUUAGAAACAACUGGCAGCGAUUACAGCUGUGAGUCAUCUUGGGUAAGACUCUAAGAGCUCUGCACACCUGGAUUGUGCAAUAUUUGCCCAUUAUUCUUUUCAAAAUUCUUCAAGCUCUGUCAAGGUUUUGGUGACAAUGGCUAGACAGCUAUUUUAAAGUCUUGCCAUAGAUUUUCAAGUAGAUUUAAGUCAAAACUGUAACUUGGCCACUAAGGAACACUCACUGUCUUCUUGGUAAACAACUCCAGUGUACAUUUGGCCUUGUGUUGUCCUGUUGAAUAGUGUAUUCUAACUCCGAGUGUCUUGUGUAAAGCAGACUAAAGCAGGUUUUCCUCUAGGAUUUUGUCUGCUUAGCUCCAUCCUGUUUCUUUUUAUCCUGGAAAACUCCUCAGUCUUUGCUGAUGUCAAAAAUACCCAUACCAUGGUGAAGCCACCACCAUGCUUGAAAAUAAGGAGGCAGUUACUCAGUGAUGUGUCCCAAACAUAAGGCUUUGCAUUUAGGUCAAUGUGCCAUGUGUUGUUGUUUGUUGCCUUGUUGCAUGCAGGAUGCAUGUUUUUGUAUUCUUAUUUUCAAUCUGUCAUUAAGUUCAUUAUUGUGGAGUCACUGCAGUGUUGUUGAUAAAAACCAUGCUCUCAUUAAGAGUCUGUUUGAUUGAGUGUGUGGACAGAUGUCUUUUAUACAGGUUACGAGUACAAACAGGUGCAGUUAAUAC
Oncorhynchus gorbuscha (pink salmon) is the source of this 1489-nucleotide long non-coding RNA. RefSeq lists it as uncharacterized. The transcript is spliced from 3 exons. The record is from RefSeq and is a predicted model, not a curated record. NCBI's taxonomy places the organism in Eukaryota, Metazoa, Chordata, Actinopteri, Salmoniformes, Salmonidae.